This 2297-nucleotide long non-coding RNA is filed under the name Homo sapiens (human). Its description in RNAcentral is "HSALNT0312012". The record is from RNAcentral. Lineage: Eukaryota; Metazoa; Chordata; Mammalia; Primates; Hominidae.
ACCUGCCUUGGCCUCCUGAAGUGCUGGGAUUACAGGCCUGGGCCACCAUGCCUGGUCUCCUCCUACCACUUUUGAAGGACUUUCCAGGAGAGAGGAGCUGCCUUUCUGCUGGAGUGGCUAAGUUGAGAUGACUCUGAACUGGAGAUGUUAUGUAUAUCUUUGCCACCACAUGAACACAGGCUGUCUGAGCAUAGAACAACAUGGAGAAAAGGCUCCCAGAGAUGGACACAGAGUGCCGGGGGUGUCAUGUGAGCCCCCAGAUCUGCCUUCUUGAAGUCAGAAUUAUCUCUGGACUUUUCUGUUGUGUAUGUCAAUACCUGUCCUUUACUUGUUGGGCUGGUUUGAGCUGGUUUCUGUCACUUGCACCCAGAAAAGUCCUACCUGAUACAUGAUUUUCCCAUUUCAAACUACAGUUACAUCUGCAAGAAAGACUCGGAUUACACUCCCACCCUACCCCUUCCCUCCUGAGGUUUGAACACUUCAGUCCUCAUGGGACCUAAAGAAUCGGGCCAACUCUUGGCUUUUUCUCUGUGUCUUCAGCAACAGCCUCCUUCCUGAUGGCUUCCAUACCAGAAGCCACACUGCUCCUGUCAUUUUCACCAGAACAUUCCUCCAACACAGAACCAGUUGUACCUGCAGAAAGGUCCAAGGCCUUGGUUUUGUGCCUGGCUCCCAGCCUCUCCCCGGCCCUGCUGGGUGACUCCCAGCUCCCAGCUCCCAGCUCCAUGCCUCUGCUCACAGGGAUUUCUCCACCAGGGCUGCCCUCACCUGUCCUCGCCAGAGGAAUUCCAUACUUUGUGGAAUGUGGCCUCCUUUGUGAGGUCCCCCUUCUGCAGCCUGUGCAGGCCUAGAUCAUUCCCUCUGCGAUGUGUGUGCAUGUCGGAGGGAGAGGAGUGUGGUGGCCAACAGCAUGGAUCCUGGAGCUGGACUGCCUGGCCAUAAAGCUUCUCUCUACCGUUCAUAGCCUUGCCACCUUGGGCAGGUUACCUCACCUCCUUAGGCCUCAGUAGUUCACUGCAAAAUGGGGAUGAUAAGACCUCCCAUGCAAAGUUAUUGUAUUUAAACCAGCUAAUCCAUGUACAGUACUUGGCACCAUUCUAUAGACACAGUCAACCCUCCAUAUGCGUUGCCCAGUUUUGGGACUGCUGUUUGUACUGAUUACGUAGAACUUGUUCACAUCUCUUGUACAGUGCAGUCCCUGACUCCUUUUACUCUCAAUCAUUGAUGUGACUAAUUUAUCUGAUAGGCUGUGAACUUCCUGAGACAGUGUCUAAUCAUUUCUGAAUGCCCAGUUCCAUGCAGACUGCCUGGUGCAUAGAAGGUGCACAGCUUGGACAACAGCACUGUCCUAUAUUGUGCACCUACUACGUGGCAAGCAUCAUGGUAGAUGCUUUGCACACAUUGUCUUUUUCAAAAUGCACACUGUCAAAUCCCAAAGAACUUAUUACCGUCCUCAUUCUUUUGAGAUAAGGGAGGGUCAGACAAGCCAAUAAGAUAGGCAACUUGCCUAAGGUCACAUGGUUGGAAAAAGGGCAGAACUGGGAUUCAAAUGCCAAAGGCAGGGUUGCUCUCCCCACAACCUCUAUGUCUUUGUCUCCCCAGGCCACACCCUUGGGGGAGCAAACCUCUGAGCCUCCAGAAGCAAGGGAUUGGCACCAACUGUAGGAAAUGUCUGCUCCGCUCCAGGGCACCUGCCCUCUGGGACUGCAGGCUGGGUGGGGGCUGCCAGUCCCCCAGGCAGGCUUGUCGGCUGCCCACUUGAAGUCUCACCAGGACUGCCAGUAGUAGACAGGACCCAAGGUGCACUGAGAGGGGCUCAGCUUCCCCCUCCCCUGAUCCAGCACUCCCAGUCUUUGUCACAAAUCAUGGUCUCUUUCCCAAGCGCUUUCCUCUUAGGAGGAGUUCUUGCCUCGGUCCUUGGCACACAGGCUCCUGGCAACUUCCUCCCUUGUUUGCUGACUCUGAAUGCUUCCGUAGGCUGUGUGGCCCACUUGGAAGGAAUAUUCAGGGGCAUGAGGUCCAGCAGCUGGUCAGGAAAUGAAGAUGCAUGCCCAGGGAGCUGGUGCAAGGGAAGAGCAGGGAGCGGACCCUGUGUGAUGAGGUGCCGGGAGUGGCCCCAGUUCUGCUGUUCCAGCUGCCCAUCCCCAGGUGCAGAUCAUAUUUUCUGCUUAGAGCAGAUUCCUUCCUGGGCAGACAUUGAGCACACAGCCAGCUGCAGUGGGCACCAGAGACAUUGCGUCCUUUCUACUCUUCAUGUCCUGAUCCCAGUGAUAAUCUUUGAGGCCCCAGUCGGUGGU